Molecule: ribosomal RNA, 940 nt
Filed under: uncultured organism
Description: bacterial SSU rRNA
Rfam family: Bacterial small subunit ribosomal RNA
Source: RNAcentral
AUGCGGUAUGACGGUACCCUUUCGAAUAAGAGGUUGCUAACUCUGUGCCAGCAGCAGCGGUAAUACAGAGACCUCGAGCGUUAUCCGGAUUUACUGGGCGUAAAGCGUCUGUAGGGGGUUUGUUAAGUUCCAAGUAAAAUCUUAAGGCUCAACUUUAAGUUCGCUUGGAAAACUAAUAAACUGGAGUCCAGCAGAGGUGCAUGGAACUUGCGGUGUAGGAGUGAAAUCCGUUGAUAUCGCAAGGAACACCAAAGGCGAAGGCAUUGCACUGGGCUGGUACUGACCCUGAGAGACGAAAGCGUGGGGAGCAAAACGGAUUAGAUACCCGUGUAGUCAACGCCGUUUACGAUGUAUACUAGAUGUUUCGGGGAUUCGAUCCCUUGGGUGUCACAGCUAACGCGUUAAGUAUCCCGCCUGGGAUGUACGGCUCGCAAGGUCUAAUACUCUAAGGAAUAGACGGGUAUCCGCACAAGCGUUGGAGCGUCUGGUUUAAUUUGAUAGUAAGCAAUGGACCUGCACCAAGGUUUGACAUCCUAUGACAACCCUGGAAACAGGGCUUCCUUCGGGCAUAGUGACAGGUGCUGCAUGGUCGUCGUCAGUUCGUGCCGUGAGGUGUUCCGUUAAGUCGGGAAACGAACGAAACCCUCGUCGCAUGUUACAAAUGUCAUGCGAGACUGCCCGGGUCAACCGGGAGGAAGUCGGGGAUGACGUCAGAUCAGCAUGGCCCUUAUACCUUGGGCUACACAGGCGCUACAAUGGCCGGUACAAAGGGUUGCAAAACCGCGAGGUGAAGCUAAUCCCAUAAAGCCGGUCCAAGUUCGGAUUGGAGGCUGCAACUCGCCUCCAUGAAGUUGGAAUCGCUAGUAAUCGUGGAUCAGCCAUACCACGGUGAAUACGUUCCCGGAUCUUGUACUCACCGCCCGUCACACCAAGAGAGUUG